RNAcentral lists this ribosomal RNA (304 nucleotides) under uncultured bacterium. Its description in RNAcentral is "partial 16S ribosomal RNA". It matches the Rfam family "Bacterial small subunit ribosomal RNA", at positions 506 to 807 of the family's 1533-position model. The record is from RNAcentral.
CAGCAGUAGCCGCGGGAAUACGAAGGUCCCGAGCGUUGUUCGGAAUCACUGGGCGUAAAGGGAGCGUAGGCGGCGUGGUAAGUCAGAUGUGAAAUCCCGGGGCUCAACCCCGGAACUGCAUCCGAUACUGCCAUGCUAGAGGAUUGGAGAGGUAGCUGGAAUUCUUGGUGUAGCAGUGAAAUGCGUGGAGAUCAAGAGGAACACUCGUGGCGAAAGCGAGCUACUGGACAAUAACUGACGCUGAGGCUCGAAGGCCAGGGUAGCGAAAGGGAUUAGAUACCCCCGUAGUCCCUGUCUCUUAUAC